CUACGGGGGGCAGCAGUGGGGAAUAUUGCACAAUGGAGGGAACUCUGAUGCAGCAACGCCGCGUGGAGGAUGACACAUUUCGGUGUGUAAACUCCUUUUAUAUGGGAAGAUAAUGACGGUAUCAUAUGAAUAAGCACCGGCUAACUCCGUGCCAGCAGCCGCGGUAAUACGGGGGGUGCAAGCGUUACUCGGAAUCACUGGGCGUAAAGCGCGCGCAGGCGGGUAGAUAAGUUGGAAGUGAAAUCCUAUGGCUCAACCAUAGAACUGCUUCCAAAACUGUUUAGCUAGAGUCUGGGAGGGUAGAUGGAAUUAGUGGUGUAGGGGUAAAAUCCGUAGAGAUCAGAAGGAAUACCAAAAGCGAAGGCGAUCUUCUGGAACAGUACUGACGCUGAGGCGCGAAAGCGUGGGGAGCAAACAGGAUUAGAUACCCGCGUAGUC
RNAcentral lists this ribosomal RNA (438 nucleotides) under uncultured bacterium. Its description in RNAcentral is "partial 16S ribosomal RNA". It matches the Rfam family "Bacterial small subunit ribosomal RNA", at positions 339 to 795 of the family's 1533-position model. The record is from RNAcentral.